This 441-nucleotide ribosomal RNA is filed under the name uncultured bacterium. RNAcentral describes it as "bacterial SSU rRNA". It matches the Rfam family "Bacterial small subunit ribosomal RNA", at positions 340 to 773 of the family's 1533-position model. The record is from RNAcentral.
UACGGAAGGCAGCAGGGGGAAUAUUGCACAAUGGGCGCAAGCCUGAUGCAGCCAUGCCGCGUGUAUGAAGAAGGCCUUCGGGUUGUAAAGUACUUUCAGUCGUGAGGAAGGUGUUAAGGUUAAUAACCUUAGCAAUUGACGUUAGCGACAGAAGAAGCACCGGCUAACUCCGUGCCAGCAGCCGCGGUAAUACGGAGGGUGCGAGCGUUAAUCGGAAUUACUGGGCGUAAAGGGCACGCAGGCGGUUAAUUAAGUUGGAUGUGAAAUCCCCGGGCUUAACCUGGGAAUGGCAUUCAAGCUGGUUAGCUAGAGUCUUGUAGAGGGGGGUUAGAAUUCCAUGGUGUAGCGGUGAAAUGCGUAGAGAUGUGGAGGAAUACCGGUGGCGAAGGCGGCCCCUGGACAAAGGACUGACGCUCAUGUGCGAAAGCGUGGGGAGCAAAC